CCAGGCAAUGUGGUGUUCAGGUCGUUCCGCGGAGGCACUGCUCCACCCUAAGUCCAAUAAUGAGAACGGUUUCUCGGACAUGGCCCAUGGAGGGUGAAAGGCCCGUGGGGGUGGAGAUCAGGUUGGCCAGUGCUGCUCUGGGGAGACCUUGGAGUCGGGUUGUUUGUGAAUGCAGCCCAAAGCGGGUGGUAGACUCCAUCCAAGGCUAAAUACAACACGAGUCCGAUAGCGAACAAGUACCGUGAGGGAAAGUUGAAAAGUACUCUGAAGAGAGAGUAAACAGUGCGUGAAGCCGUUCAGAGGUAAACAGAUAGAGUUGAACUGUGAGUUCCGAUGGUUCAGCUGGUGACUUUGGUUGAGCUUGGUCAAAAUGGUUGGGCUUUGAGGUCUGUGUAGCAACAGGUUCUUGCCUUCGGGUGAGAAUGCGCGAUGCACUCGUCGAGUGUUGUGCGCCUCAGAUGUCCCGAGCCGAGUCGCCAGUGCAUUCCGUCGGGACGGUCACCACGACCGGCACUAUCGUCUGUCUUUUGUGGUUAAACCGUGCGUGCUUCGUCCUUGUGGCUUUGUGCGUGCGGGAUGGCAGGUAGCUCAUUGGUUUGUUUACAAGCCUUUGGGUGAAAUAGCUGACUGCAAUUUGACUGUGCGUUGUGCCGGGGACGGCGGCUUGAGGUGUGUGCGUGUGUGCUAGUUUGCUGGCGUAUCCGUGUCAGGUUGCUCAGUUGCUCACCUAGUGGGCCAAGCGGCGACUGGGAUGCGUUCGGCGAGCGGUCGCGCUCGAGACAC
RNAcentral lists this ribosomal RNA (783 nucleotides) under Plagioporus sp. 1 SB-2020. RNAcentral's name for it is "partial large subunit ribosomal RNA". It matches the Rfam family "Eukaryotic large subunit ribosomal RNA", at positions 136 to 608 of the family's 3401-position model. The record is from RNAcentral. Lineage: Eukaryota; Metazoa; Platyhelminthes; Trematoda; Plagiorchiida; Opecoelidae.